This 823-nucleotide ribosomal RNA is filed under the name uncultured bacterium. RNAcentral's name for it is "bacterial SSU rRNA". It matches the Rfam family "Bacterial small subunit ribosomal RNA", at positions 9 to 825 of the family's 1533-position model. The record is from RNAcentral.
GAGUUUGAUCCUGGCUCAGAUUGAACGCUGGCGGCAUGCUUUACACAUGCAAGUCGAACGGCAGCACGGGGGCAACCCUGGUGGCGAGUGGCGAACGGGUGAGUAAUAUAUCGGAACAUGUCCGGAAGUGGGGGAUAGCUCGGCGAAAGCCGGAUUAAUACCGCAUAUGCCCUGAGGGGGAAAGGAGGGGAUCCGCAAGGACCUUUCGCUUUCGGAGUGGCCGAUAUCGGAUUAGCUAGUUGGUGAGGUAAAGGCUCACCAAGGCGACGAUCCGUAGCUGGUCUGAGAGGACGACCAGCCACACUGGAACUGAGACACGGUCCAGACUCCUACGGGAGGCAGCAGUGGGGAAUUUUGGACAAUGGGGGAAACCCUGAUCCAGCCAUGCCGCGUGAGUGAAGAAGGCCUUCGGGUUGUAAAGCUCUUUCAGACGGAAAGAAACGGUUACGGCUAAUACCCGUGACUAAUGACGGUACCGUCAGAAGAAGCACCGGCUAACUACGUGCCAGCAGCCGCGGUAAUACGUAGGGUGCGAGCGUUAAUCGGAAUUACUGGGCGUAAAGCGUGCGCAGGCGGUUUUGUAAGACAGGCGUGAAAUCCCCGGGCUUAACCUGGGAACUGCGUUUGUGACUGCAAGACUAGAGUACGGCAGAGGGGGGUAGAAUUCCACGUGUAGCAGUGAAAUGCGUAGAUAUGUGGAGGAAUACCGAUGGCGAAGGCAGCCCCCUGGGUCGAUACUGACGCUCAUGCACGAAAGCGUGGGGAGCAAACAGGAUUAGAUACCCUGGUAGUCCACGCCCUAAACGAUGUCAACUAGUGUUGG